RNAcentral lists this ribosomal RNA (522 nucleotides) under uncultured haloarchaeon. Its description in RNAcentral is "bacterial SSU rRNA". It matches the Rfam family "Archaeal small subunit ribosomal RNA", at positions 1 to 526 of the family's 1478-position model. The record is from RNAcentral. Lineage: Archaea; Methanobacteriati; Methanobacteriota; Halobacteria; Halobacteriales; Halobacteriaceae.
AUUCCGGUUGAUCCUGCCGGAGGACAUUGCUAUUGGGAUUCGAUUUAGCCAUGCUAGUCGAACGAGUUCAGACUCGUGGCGAAUAGCUCAGUAACACGUGGCCAAGCUCCCCUUCAGUCAGCGAUACCCUCGGGAAACUGAGGUUAACAGCUGAUACAAAACGCCAGCUGGAAUGCGGCGUUUCAGAAAGACAUCGCUGAAGGAUGCGGCUGCGGCCGAUUAGGUAGACGGUGGGGUAACGGCCCACCGUGCCAGUAAUCGGUACGGGUGAUGAGAGUCAGAGCCCGGAGACGGAAUCUGAGACAAGAUUCCGGGCCCUACGGGGCGCAGCAGGCGCGAAACCUUUACACUGCACGGAAGUGCGAUAGGGGAAUCCCAAGUGCGAGGGCAUAUUAGCCCUCGCUUUUCUCGACUGUAAGGCGGUCGACGAAUAAGAGCUGGGCAAGACCGGUGCCAGCCGCCGCGGUAAUACCGGCAGCUCAAGUGAUGUCCCAUAUUAUUGGGCCUAAAGCGUCCGUAGCU